CACCGCGGUUAUACGAGUGGCCCAAGUUGAUACUUAUCGGCGUAAAGAGUGGUUAGGGAACAUAUAAACUAAAGCCGAACCCCUUCAAAGCUGUUGCACGCACUCGGAGGGCAGAAGCCCAACUACGAAGGUGACUUUACAAUCCCUGACCCCACGAAAGCCAAGACA
This 168-nucleotide ribosomal RNA is filed under the name Parascorpaena mossambica (Mozambique scorpionfish). RNAcentral describes it as "partial 12S rRNA". The record is from RNAcentral. Lineage: Eukaryota; Metazoa; Chordata; Actinopteri; Perciformes; Scorpaenidae.